Molecule: ribosomal RNA, 468 nt
Filed under: uncultured bacterium
Lineage: Bacteria
Description: partial 16S ribosomal RNA
Rfam family: Bacterial small subunit ribosomal RNA
Source: RNAcentral
GACGAACGCUGGCGGCGUGCUUAACACAUGCAAGUCGAACGGUGAAGCUCCAGCUUGCUGGUGUGGUUCAGUGGCGAACGGGUGAGUAACACGUGAGCAACCUGCCUCUGACUCUGGUAUAAGCGCGGGACACGGCGUCUUAUACUGGAUACGAGAACGCCCCGCAUGGGCACUGUCUGGAAAGUUUUUCGGUUGGGGAUGGGCUCGCGGCCUAUCAGCUUGUUGGUGAGGUAAUGGCUCACCAAGGCGACGACGGGUAGCCGGCCUGAGAGGGCGACCGGCCACACUGGGACUGAGACACGGCCCAGACUCCUACGGGAGGCAGCAGUGGGGAAUAUUGCACAAUGGGCGCAAGCCUGAUGCAGCGACGCCGCGUGAGGGAUGACGGCCUUCGGGUUGUAAACCUCUUUCAGCAGGGAAGAAGCGAAAGUGACGGUACCUGCAGAAGAAGCGCCGGCUAACUACGUG